Molecule: long non-coding RNA, 2534 nt
Organism: Bos taurus (domestic cattle)
Lineage: Eukaryota; Metazoa; Chordata; Mammalia; Artiodactyla; Bovidae
Source: Ensembl
GGCACCUCAAUGGAAAGGCAGAGUGGUGGCUGAAAGCACGGGGAGCCCCGCCCCUGUAACACGUCAUGUGGCCUGGGGUGUGUCCCUUCCGUCCCUGGCCCUUUCCCUAGUUUGCAGAGUGAAGGCACUGGCCCAAAGCACCUUCAGUUUCCUGAGGGCCCGGCUGACCAUGCAGCGCCCCGCUGCUCAAGGCUCCACACAGAUGUUUCUCUCAGAUCACUUGCUCUGAGGGAAGACAGCCACCAGAUCAGGAGAACAGUCAAGCAGACAUGGAGCUGGAACCAUGUGGGGAAACUGAGGCCCCUGCCAACUCCCGACAGCAGCCGUUCCUCGGAAGUCUCCAGGUGACAGCAAUUUCGUGACAGACCCUGAGCCAGGGCUGCCUGGCCAAGCUGAAUUCCUGACCCACAGAAACUCUGAGGAUAAUAAAUGCUUACAGUUCCUUUAAGCCACGAACUUUGGAGUACUUUGUCUGUGGUGACAGAUAAAUUACAGAUAAAUGAUAAACCCUGAAUCUCCCACUGCAGCUAAGUGUGUGUCGCUCAUCCCUUUCUUUGCACAGAGAAAGCAGGAGAGCCCUUCCGUCGUUAGAGUUGACUUUAGGAGGAUUCGGAGCAGAGGUUAGCUUGUAUUGCUGCCCUGUGACCUCGUGUUUUGACCCAGCUUCGAUCCACAUGGCCCAGAUACCGUCACGAAUCUACAGCCUUUAGCUUAGCAAGGUUCUGGGUGCUGAGAUCCUGAGGACAGUGAGAGGGAUCACAUUUUCACCAAGCCCAGGCCCCUGGCCAGGAGCCCUGGGAGGCCGCCCAGCCCCUCAUCCUCACAGACAAUGACAGAUCCAUCUUCAAAGCACGGAGCACAGGCUGGGCCCUGUCGGCGAUUCCUGCCAGCACUCAGCGUGCCCUGUGGGGUGAAUGCUCAAGUCAAUCCAGUGUAGCAAAUAUUGUCUGACCAUCUACCCACAUGUGGGGCACGAGCGUGGUAGCAAGAGGAAAGGGGAGUUGAUGUGGCUCCUGCUCCAUGAGCCCCACUCUCCAGGGAGGGGAGGAUAACUGGAUGAAUCUGUGAACAAGAACCAAACUAGAAAACAGCAGCCUCUGCAUCUUCUGAAUACCCAUGGAGCAGGAACACUAAGGGAAGUUCUGUGAAAGGGUCUGCCCGUGGCCUGGGCUCUAAGAGAUCAUGCAUUUCAACAAAUGCCAACAGCAUCACACGUGGCAUCAUCCAGUGGCACCACACAGGCCUGGGAGAGCCAGGUCUGUGAGCGUCACUCUGUCCGGCAUAGUCUGUGCAGGCCAGCGAGUGCUGCCGCACACUGUGAAACAAAAACUCCAACAGCAGCAAGCACGUGUGUCCUGCUCACAGGUCGCAAGUCGGCUGAAGCGUCUCUGCUCUCACUGGGGUCUGCUCACAUGCUCAUUCCAGGGCUCAGGCUGAAGGAGCAGUCGCCGCCCGGGCCUACCCCUCUCAAGGUGCAAGGCAGGGGGACGAAAGGCCAGCACAGCCACACGACGGUGGGAGCCUCGGUUGCAGCUGAAACAUCUUAUGUCCGCCCUCAUUCCGCGGGCUGCAGCAGGUCAUGAGGCAAGUCUUUGGGACGAAGAAGUGCACUCUGUCCAGAAUACACCUUGCCAAGGAUGGGGAGGGAAGGAAAACUGAAAAAUUGAUACGACCUGCUUAACAGACGGCGGCCAGGACGUCAUAGCCGUUGAAACUGGAAACAGACUGGACCUUGUAUGGGAGAGGCUGGGUUGUUCACUAAACUUUCCCUCCUGGACACAGAACCGGACUACAUUUCCCGGCUUCGUUUGUAGCUCGUGUCUGAAUCUGGCCAGGGAAGUGGGGAGACGAUGAACUCUACUCCCAGGCCCAGACGGUUAAACCUCCUACACCAUCCUCCGUUCUUUCCUCAUCUGCUGGGUAGAUACACAGAAUCUAGCUGAGGACCCUGAAGCCCAAGAUGACAGCAGAGACACAUGGGCCCCUCAGUCACCGCUUGGGGGACAGUCACCAGGAGACACCCAGGUUAGUCUGCCUAGGGAAUUGUGGGCACACUUUUCUAGUGUCAAGUCAGAGAUUUGGGGAUUGUUUGUUACAGCAGUUGAUCUCCCUACUGUUACCUCAUGUCACAGAGGCCCCAGGGUGUGGCUCAGUGGGGCUAAGUCAGGAAGGCCUGGGCUGAAAUAUCCACCCUAGCACUUUUCAGUGGGAUCACCUUGAGCAAACUGCUAUACCUCUCUAGACCUUAAUUUUUCAUCUUUAAACAGGGAUUCAUAGUUCCUACCUCAAAAGAUAUAUUAAUGACAAACUCCAUCACUAAACCAGGUGAGGAGUCUUACUGAGUCCCAGCAGGUGGCCCCACUGGCCCAGAAGUUUACAAGAGGCUUUCAGGAGGUGGGAAGCCACCACAUGGCAUGUUGAGGGGUAAGUCUUCCUGGGGGCUCGCUCUGCUCAGGGCAGGGACUGGGGGGCAGGAUGCCCUUCAGGGCUGGGAAAAGCCACAGCGCAGGAGGGGCGGGUCCUCUGCUUUGCUG